GCGUAAAUGGAAAGCUACUGAGGAUGGUAGCUACUCCUACAGUAUCUGUCAUAUCUUUCAUCUGAGCCUAGAGGACAGUCUUUGUCCUCAGGCCUGGAGGGAAGCCAAAGUCAUUCCAUUACCCAAGAGUGGUAAAGCGGUCUUUAAUGGUUCUAACAGCUGACCUAUCAGCAUGCUGCCAGCUCUUUUAAAGGACACAACGAGAGGGAAAGUUCCGUUAGAGCUAAGUCCCCUCCUGUUCCCUGAUUUAAGAGGUGAUGACUACUCCACUCCAAUACCAUUGUCAACUUUCUCCUGACAUGAACCGAAGCCACGUCUCAGGUGCCCCCUCAUCCACUGGCACAUUGAAUGUUUCCCCUCCAAGCACUUCAAAUCCUGUCCUGCACUGGUCAAGCCUAUGAACACCUCAACUCAUGCCUCAUACCCUCAUUCAAUCACUGCUGUGAUCCAUUUCCAACACGGUUCUCUAUUCUCUCCCCCAGUGAAUGCUUGAAACCCUCAUCUUGUCUCUGUCUCCCUUUCCGGAGGACCUGAGGCUCUUGGACCGAGACUGAGUACUCCCUGGCCUGACACCUGGAGGUGCCUAGCCCAAUCCCACCUUGUCACGCUCUACCUGCUACCUGCCUAUUGCUGCCUUCACUGGUUCUUUCUCCUCAAACACUGACCCCCACUCCCCACACACCCAGAAACGGGAAUUUCCAUUACUUACCAUGACGUCUGACUAUAGGGUCUUGAAUGUAUGCUUUUAUACGGUCUGUAUCUCUGUAUUAAUGUAAGUCAAAUAAAUAUUGUGGACUGGAAGUGUGACUUCUUUUUUUUUUCACCUUUAUUUAACCAGGUAGGCUAGUUGAGAACAAGUUCUCAUUUGCAACUGCGACCUGGCCAAGAUAAAGCAUAGCAGUGUGAGCAGACAACAAAGAGUUACACAUGGAGUAAACAAUUAACAAGUCAAUAACACAGUAGAAAACAAAGGGGGGUCUAUAUACAGCCGACUAGAGCAUACAAGUCGCAGUGGUGGGUGGUAUAAGGUGCUUUAGUGACAAAACGGAUGGCACUGUGAUAGACUGCAUCCAGUUUGCUGAGUAGAGUGUUGGAAGCCAUUUUGUAGAUGACAUCGCCGAAGUCGAGGAUCGGUAGGAUAGUCAGUUUUACUAGGGUAAACUUGGCAGCGUGAGUGAAGGAGGCUUUGUUGCGGAAUAGAAAGUCGACUCUUGAUUUGAUUUUCGAUUGGAGAUGUUUGAUAUGAGUCUGGAAGGAGAGUUUACAGUCUAGCCAGACACCUAGGUACUUAUAGACGUCCACAUAUUCUAGGUCGGAACCAUCCAGGGUGGUGAUGCUAGUCGGGCAUGCGGGUGCAGGCAGCGACCGGUUGAAAAGCAUGCAUUUGGUUUUACUAGCGUUUAAGAGCAGUUGGAGGCCACGGAAGGAGUGUUGUAUGGCAUUGAAGCUUGUUUGGAGGUUAGAUAGC
RNAcentral lists this long non-coding RNA (1468 nucleotides) under Oncorhynchus kisutch (coho salmon). Its description in RNAcentral is "lncRNA (ENSOKIG00005003161.1)". The record is from RNAcentral. Lineage: Eukaryota; Metazoa; Chordata; Actinopteri; Salmoniformes; Salmonidae.